Molecule: ribosomal RNA, 482 nt
Filed under: Blastocystis sp.
Lineage: Eukaryota; Bigyra; Opalinata; Blastocystidae
Description: SSU rRNA
Rfam family: Eukaryotic small subunit ribosomal RNA
Source: RNAcentral
CAAUAAAUCUCAAUACGAAGCCUUUGGUUUUGUAAUUGAAUUGAGAACAAUGUACAAUCGUUAUCGAUAAACAAUUGGAGGGCAAGUCUGGUGCCAGCAGCCGCGGUAAUUCCAGCUCCAAUAGCGUAUAUUAACGUUGUUGCAGUUAAAAAGCUCGUAGUUGAAGUUUAGAUAAUUUAUUGAAAGUGUUUGUAUUCGUACAUUCUACUUUUAUGUAAGUUAUCGACAUCCAGGUGGGUGCCAUGGUUCCGCAAGGAAUUGUGAUACUAGACUGGUCAUUUACUGUGAGAAAAUUAGAGUGUUUAAAGCAGACUUUUAUUCAGUUUGAAUAGAUUAGCAUGGAAUAAUAAGAUUGGCUUUCAUAGUCGAUUUUUUGGUUUGUUUAUGAAAGCAAGAUUAAUGGGGACAGUUGGGGGUAUUCAUAUUCAAUAGCUAGAGGUGAAAUUCUAUGAUUUAUGGAAGAUGAACAAGUGCGAAAGCAA